CGCCGUUCCAUAUUUACCUCUGCUAUAGCUUUGGCACUUGAAGUGCGUUUUUCGCAAGUAUAAUGCGAGCUCCACCACCACACACCAUCAUAAUAAGGUUUAUGAUAUUUACAGAACAGACCUGGGCUACAUGCAGUGCUGGUAAAAUAUUCCCUGCACCUUUCGCCUUCAACUUUGCCACAUCCCAAGCAACACCCGCAUAAACCGUAUACCAGACCGCCCUUGCAUCGUCGUUUCAACGACUCUAUACUCUCACACUGUGCCCAGUCGCAAUAAAUGCAUUGGAAUCCUUGUGCUCCAUAAACUGACACGACAAACAAGAAAGCGAGUGACACUACGGUAUUCAUAUUUUCGUACAAUUACUUCGAAAGUGUAUUCCUUCGUUUGUUAAUUAAACGUUUCAGUGUGACGGCCUUGAUCAACGACAACUUAUAUAUAGUUUAAACAGUAUGUCUUCAAUCAAUUUGAUAUACGUGUUUCCCGAUAAUAUUUCCCAAUCGACUGCUUUCGUCUGUUUCAUACAACCAAUGACUUCGUC
Paramuricea clavata is the source of this 538-nucleotide non-coding RNA. The record is from the annotation of a GenBank genome assembly. Lineage: Eukaryota; Metazoa; Cnidaria; Anthozoa; Malacalcyonacea; Plexauridae.